Microcebus murinus (gray mouse lemur) is the source of this 5432-nucleotide non-coding RNA. The record is from RefSeq and is a predicted model, not a curated record. NCBI's taxonomy places the organism in Eukaryota, Metazoa, Chordata, Mammalia, Primates, Cheirogaleidae.
CAUAUCAUCCUGAUGAUCUGAAUUUUCUUUAUUAUAUAAUGAUCUUAGUUUUAUACACUGACAGUUUUUGGCUUAAAGUCCGUGUUGUCUGAUAAAAAUAGGUGUCUCUGUAAAAGAGAGACAUUUUGACACAGGGAGGACAGCAGGUGAAUACUGUAGCUAUGCUGCCACAUGGCAAGGAACUACCAGGACUGUGAGAGAAGGCUGAGAGAGAUCCUUACCUGGCACCUUCAGAGCAAGUGUGGCCCCCAGGACAUCAUGAGAGUGGACUUCUGGCCUUCAGAAUGAUGGAUGGUACAAAUGAUCCAUGAAUUGGGCCAUAACUGGAAAGGAACAUGGGAACUAUCAAUUCAUCUGUUGGAGGAAGAAAAUAGAGAAGAAGAAAGAAAAGCAGAACCAUCGAUGUGUACAUCACCAAAAUUGCCGAAGUGUUUCAAAUUGCAUAGACAUUGAAGGAAAAAACGAUGGAAUACAAAUCCUUGACUGAAACACAGCGUAAAAGUCACUCAUAUGAGCACUGAAGGACUACAGCCUCCGCAACAACAGUUUGAUGAUUUAAAAAGAAUGAGCCAACAACUUUCAACUACAACAUCUUCCAAAUGCUUCCUGCAAAAACAAUAACAACAGCAACAGCAAAAUCCUCACUAUUCAGGAUCCUCAACCAUCAGCACCGUCUGCUCCUGAUAUCCAACCAUUGACCUCGAUGUGGCUAGAUAAUCCAGAAUCGCCCAAAGCAGGUGGUCCUCCCCUGAGCAAUAGUAGCCUAGGGCUACAUCACAGAGCCCGCAUGGUUCACCCCACUUCGUCCCCUCACAUAGGCACUACAACACCUCUCAGCACCACAGGAAGUGUGGGUAUGGCACAAUAUGAUAUUUUGAGAGAGACUGAGAAGAACACAUUUGCAUAACUUUUAUUGCAGUAUAUUGCUAUAAUUGUUUCAUUUCAUUAUUAGCUAUUUGUGUUAGUCUCUUAUUGUGACAAACUUACAAAUAAAACUAUUACGGUUAUGUAUGUAUAGGGAAAAAAUAGUAUACAUGGGGUUUGGAACUCACUGCAAGUUUCCAGCGUGCACUGGGGGUCUUGGGACGUAUCUCCCAUGAAUUAGGGGAGACCGUGCAUUGCCAGUGUGGGGGCUGUCAGCCACUACCAUGUAGUUAACAACACGUGUAAGAGCUAAAUCAAAACGAAGCCCUGGGGCCAUUCGCAGGGUAAAAAAUCUGAAAAGAUAAAUCAUCCCAGCACUAUUUUGAUGAGCUAUUUAAUAUGCCAAAAUAAAUAGUCAGAUAUGAAUGAGGCCAUGAUAGAAAGACCCCAGACAAGUGUCAAGAGUCAAGUCACUAAAUGAAAGACUCUCAUCCUUCUUAAUCAAUAAAAGGAUGAGCCAUAUUAGCACCCAUUAGGGUGAGGCUUUUAAAUAUAUAUUUUAAGAUGAAAAGGUUCUUUCUUUUUCUCUCCACUACUCCGUGGUCCUAACUAUUGAGACUUUCUUCAGACAUGUUUACAUAGGUUAUCAUUCACUCUCAUGUAGAAAAUGCAUGCUAGGAGAGACUUUUCUUUUUAGUCUGAUACAAAUGCCUGCCAAUGAGGAGUCCCCCACGAUUCCUUUCCCAGGAAUAACAUAUCAGAAGCUAUCAAAACCAGUGAUAAUUCUCUGAAGGAGUCUUCCAGACAGUCAAAAUCAUCAUUCCUGCAUGGCAAGGACAAUUUAGGCUGUUUCUUGAGACCAAAUAGGCAGAACAGAUUCAUACUUGAAAGUAAGUACAGAUUACUAAGCAAAUAUAACAGCCUUAAAUAUUGUUUGUCAAACACUUUAAGAUUCUUAAUCUUCGUUUUACUGUGUGCCUAAUAAUGCCUUGUAUUGCACAUUCUUCUGAUACAAAAUGUCUGGCUCUUCAGGUAUAGAAUGGUACCUCUGAACACAUUAUACCAACAUAGAACAUUACAGAAGUAUUCAAUAUACAGUACGUGGUAUAUAUUUCAUGAAAAAUGCAUAUUUGUAUCUAAAAAUUUUAAUGUGCUUAUUAAUAAAAGAGAAAUAUAUCUAAAGAGAAGAAAUGCGUUUUUAGAAAUUAUCUUCUUCACUCACAAUGGAAGUUCAUACAUUAAUUUUUAAAAAUAUUUUUUGGUAAAAUUUGCUGUAUAACAAGCACCUUUAAAGGGAAGCAAUUUACAUUUUACAUACAUCAUAAGACCCACUUCUUAUAACUUUCACCUAAAGUCAAAUCUAGUCUAAGUCAUUAUUUGAGACAAAAACUAUCCCAUGAAGAACAAAUAAACAACGUAAAAAAAUAUAAAGAAUCAAAUUUAAAAGCACAAAUGUGCUGUAAAGGGAAGAAGAGGAUGAAUUCUGUUCCUCUUAAAUUUUGUUUCCUGAAUAUGGAUUUACACUGUGCAGGAUAUGAGUGAAAGCAGUAUGUGGGAUAUUUAUACUUUUAAUAUAUCAGACACUUUGCAUAUGCUGUUGUAGUAAGUGUCUUGAAAAAAGAAACUCACUGGAGGACGCAUAAUAAAUUCCUGUGAGAUUUACAGUCCAACUCCCUUACAUACAUGGAACACUAAGAUGUUUUAGCGAAAUGUGCUUGGGCAGCACAGAGUUGAAGAGCAAGGAUGCAGGGGAGGAUUAACAUGGGUUUGUCUAUUUCUCUCUGUAGUUCAAAAACUUGCAUGUUAACUUGUUUUAUUUGUUUGACUACAGGUUAGAUUAUUUUAAUCUCUCUCCAAUUUCUAGCAACUCUCUUUAGAAAGGCGUGACUACAAAGAGCUGAAAAGAGUGGUAUAACAAGCAAGAGUGCCUUGUUCUGUAAUCGAGCAUCCAUGAUCUUGAAGCUCUUCUCACCCACCGCUUUCACUUAUGGUAUUUAGUAGUCCUCAUUUCUGGUUUUUCGCCUUUCAAGCAAAUAGCAGGAUUAUACUCAUAUAUCUCUUUAAAUUUAGGCAUGGACUGGUGACUUGUUUUGGCCAAGGACAUACAGAAUGAAUUGGCAUGGGUCACUUCCACGUGGAAAUUUUAAGAACCAGUGGAUAAUGAACUAUGUUCUCUUUUUUUUCUAUCUUAGCCAUUGUGGAAGCAUAGAGGUGCUACCUUUCCCAAUCUAGGUCCCUAAGUCCUAUAUUGCACCCAUGUGUUACUCUAGUUCAUCGUACAAAUUUAUUUGGGGUCAGGCUCACUCUUUCCUAUGUCCAUCCCACUCUCUGUCUCCCGAGUAUCACUCUGAUGUUUCAGACCACAGUAGAAUAAAUUUUACGGGCCUAUCCAAGACCCCCUCUGCCUUUCUUGUACAGGGUCUUGCAAUCUACACUCUCUUCCUAAGGGUUAAUAAACAAGAUCUCACAAACUAAUCAAGGAUUGAGACACACACCAUCUAGUUUCAGAACAGGAAAUAUGACCCAUAAAUACUAUUUCCCGGGAACAUUUUCCCCUGUGCUUUCUGCUCCCACAUGCUUUUAUAUGACAAACAUUAAUGAUCAAAGGCCAUAACUGCACGAAUGGGGGUCAGUAUCAAGAAAAGAGAAAUACCAGGGUGAAGAAAAUCAGCAUGAGUAAAUGUAUUAAAAAUAUCAAUGGGUGCAAAGUAGGGAUUUCAUCUAGUCCUUCAGCUACCUCACGUAUUCCCUGUUUUCUGUCUCCAUUUUGUGGCACACACCCUUCCUUCCACCCCUAAUACAGAGGUCUCAUGGUAGCUUCUCUUGCUAUAUUUUUACAUGUUCAUAUUAGACUUUUUUCUUUGAAAUAAAUUUAUGCUCACAAGAAGUUACAAAAACAUCACAGAAUUCUCAUGGGUCCUUCACUCUAAUUUCCCCAAUGAUAACAUCUUAUAAAUGCUCAUUUUUGACUGUGGCAUUUUACUUUGUGAUUUUAUAUAUUACCCUUAGGCAGACUCAGAUUUUUAGUCCUGCCACAUUUUGAGUUUUCAGAUAUGUCUUUUGAAAUCUCAAGUCAGACACUUUAACUAUAGACACAUUAUAGUUUUAACUAUAAUAAGCUACUCCUUUCACGAUGUCACCAGUUACCUCAGGCACACUACUAGAUGGACCGUGAAGCAAUCUCCUAUCUAAUUUUUUUCUAGUUCUCACAUCAUCCUUAACUUUCUCAAAUUCUAAAUUACAUUUCUUACCAGUGUCAAAUUCAGCUUCCUGAAACACAGCUCAGCUCUUAUCACUUUCUUGCUCGAACCAGGUAGCCACAAAACGUUUCCUAAUUUAUUUCCCGUGUCUUCUCUUUACGACGUAAUAAAGGUAUAAUUUAGUUGCAAGCAGUUUGGGAAACCGCCUUUUCCAUGGUCUCGCAUACCGGCAUGGAAGAACAUUCAUCAGGACAACACUCACAGCUUCUCUCAAUUUCCUGAGCCAUCCUCUCCAAGCGAGACGGAGGAACUGCUCCCCUUGGCAACACAGGAGUGAUUACACAUGCUUAACCCAGGCAAAACUUUUUGCUUUAUUUUUGAAAUCCAGCUUUCUAUAGGAAGGACGCAUUUGUGUUUAACAUGGUCGAUUUAACAAUUUUGAAAACAUUCUCCCUCUCUAUUUCUUUCUAAAAAUCCUUCUCUCUAAAUUUAUGAAAUGGUUCAAAUACUAAUUGAGUAUGUGGAGGAGUUCCACCAUCAACCUAUGUUGGUAGGGCAAUUACAUUAAAAGACUGUGUGUGCUUUUGUUUAAUCCACUUACUUUACUAUACGAGCUUCUUCCUACUGAUUUCUGACUUCUUUGACUGAUAUGAUAACACAUUUGGGAAGUUAUGGUCCCUUUUACUGUGCCUUUAAAUGAUUUUAUAUUUGGCGAGGAUGUAACUAACAGGUUUUUCCUAUAUCUCUUUAGAAGGCAUUAUGAAAUAAUACCAUUUAUGGCAAGAAAGACUGUUGCCAAAUGUGUACUCAGCUGUAUGCAAGUGUGGAACUCUUGGACAGAAGUGAGUAAUUGACAGGAGAAGUGGUCCUGGAAGAGGAAAAAGAAUCAUGAGUAUUAUGAGGAAGGACAAAAAAAAUGUACAUGUAUUUCUGUGCCUGACUUAUUUGACUUAGCAUAAUUUCCUCCAGGCUUAUUCAUGUUGCAGUAAAUGAUAGAAUUUUCUUCUUUUUAAAGGCAGAGUUGUAUCCCAUUGUGUGUAGACACCACACUUUCAUUAUACAUUCAUUCAUUGAUAAACCCUUAGGUUGAUUCCACGUCUUGACUACUGUGAAUAAUGCAACAAUGAACGUGUGAGUGCAGGUAUCUCUUUAACUUGUUGACUUCAAUUGCUUUGCUUAUAUACCCAGAAGUGGGAUUGCUUGGUCAUAUUCUAAUUCUAUAUUUAUUUCUUUGAGGAUACUCCAUACUAUUCUGCAUAGUGAUUGUACUAAUUUUUGUUCUGUAUAGUGAUCAUACUAAUUUAUAUUUUCACCAACAGUGCUCCGGGGGUCCCUUUUCUCCACAUCCUCACCAAUACUUGUUAUCUU